UCGAGGAUCAUUCGCAAUGCGCGAAAGCGUGACGAUGCGACGCUGCGUGGAGGAUGAAGGCCUUCGGGUCGUAAACUCCUGUCGUUUGGGAACAAGGAACCGGCAGUAAUACUGUCGGAACUUGAUAGUACCGAAAGAGGAAGCCACGGCUAACUCUGUGCCAGCAGCCGCGGUAAUACAGAGGUGGCGAGCGUUGUUCGGAUUUACUGGGCGUAAAGGGUGCGUAGGCGGUUCUGUGUGUCGGGUGUGAAAUCCCACUGCUCAACGGUGGAAUGGCACUCGAAACUGCAGAACUAGAGUGCAGGAGAGGAGAGCGGAAUUCCUGGUGUAGCGGUGGAAUGCGUUGAUAUCAGGAAGAACACCGGUGGCGUAGGCGGCUCUCUGGAAUGCAACUGACGCUGAGGCACGAAAGCUGGGGGAGCAAACAGG
This 429-nucleotide ribosomal RNA is filed under the name uncultured bacterium. Its description in RNAcentral is "bacterial SSU rRNA". It matches the Rfam family "Bacterial small subunit ribosomal RNA", at positions 355 to 776 of the family's 1533-position model. The record is from RNAcentral.